AUUGAACGCUGGCGGCAUGCCUUACACAUGCAAGUCGAACGGCAGCACGGGUGCUUGCACCUGGUGGCGAGUGGCGAACGGGUGAGUAAUACAUCGGAACAUGUCCUGUAGUGGGGGAUAGCCCGGCGAAAGCCGGAUUAAUACCGCAUACGAUCUACGGAUGAAAGCGGGGGACCUGCGGGCCUCGCGCUAUAGGGUUGGCCGAUGGCUGAUUAGCUCGUUGGUGGGGGAAAGGCCUACCAAGGCGACGAUCAGUAGCUGGUCUGAGAGGACGACCAGCCACACUGGGACUGAGACACGGCCCAGACUCCUACGGGAGGCAGCAGUGGGGAAUUUUGGACAAUGGGCGAAAGCCUGAUCCAGCAAUGCCGCGUGUGUGAAGAAGGCCUUCGGGUUGUAAAGCACUUUUGUCCGGAAAGAAAUCCUUGGCCCUAAUACGGUCGGGGGAUGACGGUACCGGAAGAAUAAGCACCGGCUAACUACGU
This 485-nucleotide ribosomal RNA is filed under the name uncultured bacterium. RNAcentral describes it as "partial 16S ribosomal RNA". It matches the Rfam family "Bacterial small subunit ribosomal RNA", at positions 30 to 506 of the family's 1533-position model. The record is from RNAcentral.